RNAcentral lists this ribosomal RNA (323 nucleotides) under Mysmena sp. MYSM-036-THAI. Its description in RNAcentral is "partial 12S ribosomal RNA". The record is from RNAcentral. Lineage: Eukaryota; Metazoa; Arthropoda; Arachnida; Araneae; Mysmenidae.
AAUUAAACAAUAGGUAGUAAAACUUUUUUUUAAAACCAAUAUAAACUGGCGGCAUUUAAUAUAUUUAGAGGAACCUGUUUUUUAAUCGACAAUACACGUUAAAUUUUACUUAGUUAUAAAAUUUUAUAUACCGCCGUCAAAAGAGUUUUUAUAAAUUAUUUCUCUUAAAAUAAAAUAUGUCAGGUAAAGGUGUAAACUAAUACUAAGAUAAAAUGUGUUACAAUAAAAAAUAUUUAAGAAUUCAAAAUUAAAAAUUUUAAUUAAAAAGGAUUUAUAAGUAAAACUAAUAAUAAUAAUUAAUAUUUAAUUAAAUAUUAAUGUGC